Molecule: ribosomal RNA, 500 nt
Filed under: Curtobacterium flaccumfaciens
Lineage: Bacteria; Bacillati; Actinomycetota; Actinomycetes; Micrococcales; Microbacteriaceae
Description: bacterial SSU rRNA
Rfam family: Bacterial small subunit ribosomal RNA
Source: RNAcentral
GAUGCCCAGCUUGCUGGGUGGAUUAGUGGCGAACGGGUGAGUAACACGUGUAGUAACCUGCCCCUGACUCUGGGAUAAGCGUUGGAAACGACGUCUAAUACUGGAUAUGAUCACUGGCCGCAUGGUCUGGUGGUGGAAAGAUUUUUUGGUUGGGGAUGGACUCGCGGCCUAUCAGCUUGUUGGUGAGGUAAUGGCUCACCAAGGCGACGACGGGUAGCCGGCCUGAGAGGGUGACCGGCCACACUGGGACUGAGACACGGCCCAGACUCCUACGGGAGGCAGCAGUGGGGAAUAUUGCACAAUGGGCGAAAGCCUGAUGCAGCAACGCCGCGUGAGGGAUGACGGCCUUCGGGUUGUAAACCUCUUUUAGUAGGGAAGAAGCGAAAGUGACGGUACCUGCAGAAAAAGCACCGGCUAACUACGUGCCAGCAGCCGCGGUAAUACGUAGGGUGCAAGCGUUGUCCGGAAUUAUUGGGCGUAAAGAGCUCGUAGGCGGUUUG